This 30-nucleotide non-coding RNA is filed under the name Rattus norvegicus (Norway rat). The record is from RNAcentral. Lineage: Eukaryota; Metazoa; Chordata; Mammalia; Rodentia; Muridae.
UAAAAAUUUAGCCACAAUGUUUUCUUCAUU